Molecule: ribosomal RNA, 497 nt
Filed under: uncultured bacterium
Lineage: Bacteria
Description: partial 16S ribosomal RNA
Rfam family: Bacterial small subunit ribosomal RNA
Source: RNAcentral
GAUGAACGCUGGCGGCGUGCCUAAUACAUGCAAGUCGAGCGAACAGACGAGGAGCUUGCUCCUCUGACGUUAGCGGCGGACGGGUGAGUAACACGUGGAUAACCUACCUAUAAGACUGGGGUAACUUCGGGAAACCGGAGCUAAUACCGGAUAAUAUAUUGAACCGCAUGGUUCAAUAGUGAAAGACGGUUUUGCUGUCACUUAUAGAUGGAUCCGCGCCGCAUUAGCUAGUUGGUAAGGUAACGGCUUACCAAGGCGACGAUGCGUAGCCGACCUGAGAGGGUGAUCGGCCACACUAGAACUGAGACACGGUCCAGACUCCUACGGGAGGCAGCAGUAGGGAAUCUUCCGCAAUGGGCGAAAGCCUGACGGAGCAACGCCGCGUGAGUGAUGAAGGUCUUCGGAUCGUAAAACUCUGUUAUUAGGGAAGAACAAAUGUGUAAGUAACUAUGCACGUCUUGACGGUACCUAAUCAGAAAGCCACGGCUAACUACGUG